This 467-nucleotide ribosomal RNA is filed under the name uncultured bacterium. RNAcentral describes it as "partial 16S ribosomal RNA". It matches the Rfam family "Bacterial small subunit ribosomal RNA", at positions 28 to 506 of the family's 1533-position model. The record is from RNAcentral.
GACGAACGCUGGCGGCGUGCUUAACACAUGCAAGUCGAACGGAAAGGCCCUGCUUUUGUGGGGUGCUCGAGUGGCGAACGGGUGAGUAACACGUGAGUAACCUGCCCUUGACUUUGGGAUAACUUCAGGAAACUGGGGCUAAUACCGGAUAGGAGCUCCUGCUGCAUGGUGGGGGUUGGAAAGUUUCGUCGGUUGGGGAUGGACUCGCGGCUUAUCAGCUUGUUGGUGGGGUAGUGGCUUACCAAGGCUUUGACGGGUAGCCGGCCUGAGAGGGUGACCGGCCACAUUGGGACUGAGAUACGGCCCAGACUCCUACGGGAGGCAGCAGUGGGGAAUAUUGCACAAUGGGCGGAAGCCUGAUGCAGCAACGCCGCGUGCGGGAUGACGGCCUUCGGGUUGUAAACCGCUUUCGCCUGUGACGAAGCGUGAGUGACGGUAAUGGGUAAAGAAGCACCGGCUAACUACGU